AAAAAGGCCCUCAUCAGGGCCACUUCCCAAAUCCUUCAAGACGAUCU
Non-coding RNA from Acyrthosiphon pisum (pea aphid), 47 nucleotides. The record is from Rfam. Lineage: Eukaryota; Metazoa; Arthropoda; Insecta; Hemiptera; Aphididae.